GAUUAAGGCUAGUUUGAUACUGAAUCUGAAAUGAUGAUAUUACUAUGAUUUAUUUACAGAAAAAAAUAUGGAGAGGCUCUCUGAUAUUUUGAUGUCUUAUCCUUCUGCUGAGCCUCAGAAAAGCCCUGCAUCAUGGUCUUUUCGGCAGCAGAAAGCCUCAGAGCGCUGGAAAGAAGCAAGACCAUACCACCUAAAAAAAGGCCGUUGGUCAGCCACUGUGUUGGCUUUGUCAUGAGCCUGCUGUUAUUAGGUGCAGAGAGUGUCUUCCUGAGGAAUGCUUCUGUAGGGACUGUGAUGUAUUGCACCAGAAAAAACAGCUACUCCACAACAGGGAAUGUGUGAUUCGUGAGUUUUUUGAAACCAUUCCUCCAACCUCAUGUGUCCUUAAAGGGCAAGAUGGAUAUUGCAUCCGUGAGCACGUGAAGGCGCGAGACUGCUCCUGUGAAGACACAAACUGCACCAUAUUCCCGGGCAAACCAGUGAUUUUAAUUACCAUCAAUGGGUGUUUUGAUUUGCAUCAGCCACUAUAUGUAUGUCAAACGUGCCAGCAUCUGUGGACCCCUGACUUGAAGGACCUCCUUAGGAGAGGAUAUUGGCCUGCCUCUGACACCAGUUCCACACUUUCUACACUGGACCUCCUGAGCUCCUGUCAGGAACUCAAGGUCAUCUCUCGGGGAUUCUCCAGACAAGCCUUCGCAAAGCUGCUGGAGUAUCGCACUAAGACUGGAGGAAGAGUAAGUGUAAUUGUUAUUACCAUAUUAUAA
Molecule: long non-coding RNA, 764 nt
Organism: Cyprinus carpio (common carp)
Lineage: Eukaryota; Metazoa; Chordata; Actinopteri; Cypriniformes; Cyprinidae
Source: Ensembl